AGACAAUGGGAAAAAUAUCCUUAGGUGUUCAUUCCUAAUAAACAACUUGUACCACAAACUUCUCAGAUCUUUUGGAGAAUCCAACAAAUACAAAUCUUAUCUUUGGAAAGAGGCACUUUGGCUUACCCCUGCUUAUAAACAACAGGCAAGAGCAGUAUUCAUGGAGGCCAAGACAUGGAG
Pipistrellus kuhlii (Kuhl's pipistrelle) is the source of this 180-nucleotide long non-coding RNA. RefSeq lists it as uncharacterized. Lineage: Eukaryota; Metazoa; Chordata; Mammalia; Chiroptera; Vespertilionidae. The transcript is spliced from 4 exons. The record is from RefSeq and is a predicted model, not a curated record.